CCCUUAGAUGUCCUGGGCUGCACGCGCGCUACACUGAUGUGUCCAGUAAGCACCUAACCUAUUCCGAGAGGAGCGGGUAACCUUAGCAAAGCACAUCGUGAUGGGGAUAGAUUAUUGCAAUUAUUAGACUUGAACGAGGAAUUCCUAGUAAGCACAAGUCAUCAGCUUGUGUUGAUUACGUCCCUGCCCUUUGUACACACCGCCCGUCGCUCCUACCGAUUGAAUGUUCCGGUGAGCUCUUCGGACUGCGCGGUCUGCAGUUUCUGCGUUCCGUGCGGAAAGUUGUGCAAACCUUAACAUUUAGAGGAAGGAGAAGUCGUAACA
RNAcentral lists this ribosomal RNA (324 nucleotides) under uncultured eukaryote. RNAcentral's name for it is "partial 18S ribosomal RNA". It matches the Rfam family "Eukaryotic small subunit ribosomal RNA", at positions 1470 to 1796 of the family's 1831-position model. The record is from RNAcentral.